UUCUUAGACAGGAUCAAGCAAGCUUACGACAGGAACGCAGAGCUGGCUAACCUCUUGGUGGAUCCCGAGUUUGCGAAAGAGAUCAUCGAGAGGCAGUCGGCUUGGAGGAGAGUGGUCUGCUUGAGCAUCAACUCGGGUAUUAGCACUCCUGGUAUGUCUGCGAGUCUGGCGUACUUCGAUUCUUACAGGAGAGAGAGGCUGCCGGCGAACCUUGUACAAGCUCAGAGAGAUUACUUUGGUGCUCAUACUUAUGAAAGGACUGAUGUUGAAGGUUCUUUCCACACCGAGUGGUUCAAGAUCGCAAGACAAUCCAAAUCCAACAUGUAAUGAUGAUGUUUCACUCUCCGUUUCUCUCCUUC
Molecule: long non-coding RNA, 359 nt
Filed under: Brassica rapa (field mustard)
Lineage: Eukaryota; Viridiplantae; Streptophyta; Magnoliopsida; Brassicales; Brassicaceae
Description: long non-coding RNA (BRAP_LNC003953)
Source: RNAcentral